This is a long non-coding RNA of Juglans microcarpa x Juglans regia, 264 nucleotides long. RefSeq lists it as uncharacterized. The transcript is spliced from 3 exons. The record is from RefSeq and is a predicted model, not a curated record. NCBI's taxonomy places the organism in Eukaryota, Viridiplantae, Streptophyta, Magnoliopsida, Fagales, Juglandaceae.
UUUUUUUAUAACUGUAAAUAUUUUGGUGCUCUUUAUUAAAGUGAGAUGACCCCCUUUCAAUAAAUACACCAUUUUCCAACCUGCCAGCCUUUUCUCUACCUUCUCUAUUAUCCCAUCCCAAAUAGCUCUAGCCUUAAACGUUGCUCCCAACGGAAGGCCCAAAUAUUUCAUAGGCAACGAAGACACCUGACAAUCCAAAAGGCUUGCUAAGCUAUUAAUGUUGGUCACCACACCCACUGCAAUCAUCUCGGAUUUACCAAGAUU